GGCCACUGUAAGCCCAGAGCGGUUAAGAAAUUUAUAGUGCAAAAGGUUAGGAAAUUUCCGAAACCAACAAAGACGCGCAGAAUUGGAUGAUUCGAGCUCAUCAUCACAAUUUGAGUCAUAAAUACGUUCAAUUAAUCUGCGCUGAUGUUUCCCAGAUAUUAUUGCUAAUUAUUCCAUGAGAGCCAUCUCAGCCAUCACUCCCCAUUUGGAAACAGCUCAAGCCUCGAUGACCUUUAUCGCUUGGGACCAAAUAGUUGUCCCCCGACACAAUCUUUUGGAGUGAUGGCUGCUCUGUUUUCUGUUUUUCAGUACAUGAAUGCUUGCAAAAGGAUAAAGGGUAGGAAACGCCAUGAACUAUUUUAGUGCUGAAGCACGGUUUUACACCCCAUCAAAAAAACUAUUAUUGGCUAGCCAAUGGAGCUGCGGAAAGUCUUCUAUCAUGAAACUUUUUGAUCGUUUCUGUUAAUGCUGAGCAUAAUACCUGCACUAAGAUCAGGUGUAAGAGAUGUAAGCAGCUGCCUCAGAUGCGCCGUCAGGAAACAUCCCAGAGGUUCCCACAACGCGAAACACUAGCGUACAUUCAUUGCUUGCAUGAGACAAAAACAAAGAACUAGUGUCAUAGUUCCAAGAUCUUUAACAUGCUAGGGAUCAAAAAAUACGUUUCCACUGAGAUGCCAUGGUUAAAAACGGGUGGCAUGGCAGAUACAAAAGAAAAAGAAAAA
This 722-nucleotide long non-coding RNA is filed under the name Phoenix dactylifera (date palm). Its description in RNAcentral is "long non-coding RNA (PDAC_LNC018907)". The record is from RNAcentral. Lineage: Eukaryota; Viridiplantae; Streptophyta; Magnoliopsida; Arecales; Arecaceae.